This 557-nucleotide ribosomal RNA is filed under the name uncultured fungus. RNAcentral's name for it is "SSU rRNA". It matches the Rfam family "Eukaryotic small subunit ribosomal RNA", at positions 194 to 755 of the family's 1831-position model. The record is from RNAcentral. Lineage: Eukaryota; Fungi.
GGAAGGGAUGUAUUUAUUAGAUUAAAAACCAAUGCCCUUCGGGGCUCUCUGGUGAUUCAUAAUAACUUCUCGAAUCGCACGGCCUUGCGCCGGCGAUGGUUCAUUCAAAUUUCUGCCCUAUCAACUUUCGACGGCUGGGUCUUGGCCAGCCGUGGUGACAACGGGUAACGGAGGGUUAGGGCUCGACCCCGGAGAAGGAGCCUGAGAAACGGCUACUACAUCCAAGGAAGGCAGCAGGCGCGCAAAUUACCCAGUCCCGACACGGGGAGGUAGUGACAAUAAAUACUGAUACAGGGCUCUUUCGGGUCUUGUAAUUGGAAUGAGUACAAUUUAAAUCCCUUAACGAGGAACAAUUGGAGGGCAAGUCUGGUGCCAGCAGCCGCGGUAAUUCCAGCUCCAAUAGCGUAUAUUAAAGUUGUUGAGGUUAAAAAGCUCGUAGUUGAACCUUGGGCCUAGCCGGCCGGUCCGCCUCACCGCGUGCACUGGCUCGGCUGGGUCUUUCCUUCUGGAGAACCGCAUGCCCUUCACUGGGUGUGCUGGGGAACCAGGACUUUUAC